AUACGGAGGGGGCAAGCGUUGUUCGGAAUUACUGGGCGUAAAGCGCACGUAGGCGGUUUAUCAAGUUAGGCGUGAAAGCCCUGGGCUCAACCCAGGAACUGCGUUUAAUACUGAUAAGCUAGAGACCGGGAGAGGGUGGCGGAAUUCCCAGUGUAGAGGUGAAAUUCGUAGAUAUUGGGAAGAACACCGGUUGCGAAGGCGGCCACCUGGACCGGAACUGACGCUGAGGUGCGAAAGCGUGGGGAGCAAACAGGAUUAGAAACCCCAGUAGUCC
Molecule: ribosomal RNA, 274 nt
Filed under: uncultured bacterium
Lineage: Bacteria
Description: partial 16S ribosomal RNA
Rfam family: Bacterial small subunit ribosomal RNA
Source: RNAcentral